AAGUCUGAAGAGAGGGAUGAAGUGACCACUGCGGAGUUUUACAUAAAAAAACAACUGACGUUUGUUAAAUAUAUGCAGGAAACUCCGCCGCUGGUCGUCUCUCCUCACCAAGGUUGAUAUCACUACCAUCAUCAGGGACCUGAAGGUGGGGCUGAAAAGCCUCAAGAGGUCUGUGGUGGUGCACCAAAUGGCAGUGAAGAGGGAUAAAUACUGCAAGCUGCCAAAGAGGGAGUGCAUCACCACAUUCCUCUCUGGGGCUAGGAGGAAGAUUCCAGAGCUGCUCGACAUGCUGGAGGAGGAGCAUACAAGUCACACAAGGUUUUGCUUUUAUUGCUACCAGUGUGGCUACUGGAUCUGCCUCUUCGGCCACAGGCCUGGUAUGUACUCCAACAUGACAGAUGAGGAGUUUGCGCAGGCCAAGGCCAGUGGUGGGCCCGACGGCUACCUGAUCCACAUAAGGAUUAAGAAUUCCAUCCCUUCUCUACCUCAGUGUGUCAUAAUAGAUCAAGGAGCACAGACCAACCAGUCAUUUGGAGAGGCCCAGCUGGUCCUCACUCCAGAAGAGUUUUCGUGGCUGGAUAGGCUUAAGAAGUCAACCAAUUUGGAUGACAGGAAAAAUGUAGCCGACUUCAUGUGUCGUGAUGUCCGGACGGCUGACUUGUUCUACGCCAGGUGUCCGAACGUUGUGGCGGCGAAGAACAUCAGGGACAUCAUUGGAGCCAGCCUGCAAAGCAAGGAGGCCAUAGUCAGCGAGGAGGAGGAGGGAGGAGGGAGGAGGAGGAGGAAGAGGAGGAGGGGAAAAA
Molecule: long non-coding RNA, 803 nt
Filed under: Cottoperca gobio
Lineage: Eukaryota; Metazoa; Chordata; Actinopteri; Perciformes; Bovichtidae
Description: lncRNA (ENSCGOG00000003031.1)
Source: RNAcentral